CGAGUAAGUAUAGAAAGCAAACAAUAGGAUAACCUUCAGAGAUCAAAUGGAAAAGAAGAAUGAAAGUAGAAACCAAGUAUGUCCUGCUGCCAAACCAUAAUCCACAUGCCUGACUAGCGGGUAGGUAUAAUAGAGAAAUAACACAAACUAACAUAUUAGACAUCCAGCAGAAACAAUCGACAAAACAGAACUCUACUUGGUAUAGGCGGC
This 210-nucleotide long non-coding RNA is filed under the name Elaeis guineensis (African oil palm). RNAcentral describes it as "long non-coding RNA (EGUI_LNC040884)". The record is from RNAcentral. Lineage: Eukaryota; Viridiplantae; Streptophyta; Magnoliopsida; Arecales; Arecaceae.